Erpetoichthys calabaricus (reedfish) is the source of this 632-nucleotide non-coding RNA. Lineage: Eukaryota; Metazoa; Chordata; Cladistia; Polypteriformes; Polypteridae. The record is from the annotation of a RefSeq genome assembly.
CAAGUCACAAGCGUCACAAGGCCCUGAAGAUGCGACGGCGACAGCUUGAUCUCCUGCGCUGCAUGACACUAACGCUGCUGGCCACUCCUUCGUGGUCCGCCACUCUUUUCCAGCCGAGCUCCGUGGUGCUCAAGGACGGCAGACCGGCACGGAUCGAGUGUCGCAUCGGGGGCUCCUCGACCCGGGACACCACGUUUUACUGGUACCGUCAGAAAGGCGACACGGAGCUGCUGUGGAUUCUGUACUAUCAGGACACCUCGACUCAGGAAAAAGCGGAGUCGUUCGCCGGGAGAUUCUCCUGCACGAAACAGCGGGACCGACAGGCGGCCUUCUUGAUCAUAACGGAGACGAGCAGAGCCGACGAGGCCACCUACUUCUGCGCAGUCUGGUCAGCGCACCGCCACACAGGCCCACGAGCGGGUGACACAAAAACGUGUCAAGUGCGCCGCCAGCUGGCCAUACCGGCGAAGGAGCAGACCGCAAUGCGCGUGCGCACCCGGCGACUCGCAGCUCCUCGUUGUCAGUUUCAGCCGCAGUUUGGUGGCCCCAGAUGUUCAUUCAUUAUGGACGUGAGGGCAGGUAGCCGUGCCAUCUUCAGGUGGACCGUUCAGCAAAAUUCUUUAAUGCCAUGA